RNAcentral lists this ribosomal RNA (253 nucleotides) under uncultured bacterium. Its description in RNAcentral is "partial 16S ribosomal RNA". It matches the Rfam family "Bacterial small subunit ribosomal RNA", at positions 524 to 776 of the family's 1533-position model. The record is from RNAcentral.
UACGUAGGGUGCAAGCGUUGUCCGGAAUUAUUGGGCGUAAAGAGCUCGUAGGCGGUUUGUCGCGUCGAAUGUGAAAACCCGGGGCUCAACCCCGGGCCUGCAUUCGAUACGGGCAGACUAGAGUUCGGUAGGGGAGUCUGGAAUUCCUGGUGUAGCGGUGAAAUGCGCAGAUAUCAGGAGGAACACCGGUGGCGAAGGCGGGACUCUGGGCCGAUACUGACGCUGAGGAGCGAAAGCGUGGGGAGCGAUCCGG